AGGGAUAGCCCANANNNNNNNNNGAUUAAUACCUUAUAGUAUUAUAAAAUGGCAUCAUUUAAUAAUUAAAGAUUUAUCGGAACAAGAUGAGCAUGCGUCCCAUUAGCUAGUUGGUAUGGUAACGGCAUACCAAGGCAAUGAUGGGUAGGGGUCCUGAGAGGGAGAUCCCCCACACUGGUACUGAGACACGGACCAGACUCNUACGGGAGGCAGCAGUGAGGAAUAUUGGACAAUGGGCGCAAGCCUGAUCCAGCCAUGCCGCGUGCAGGAAGACGGUCCUAUGGAUUGUAAACUGCUUUUAUACAGGAAGAAACAACUNUNCNUGUAGAGUCUUGACGGUACUGUAGGAAUAAGGAUCGGCUAACUCCGUGCCAGCAGCCGCGGUAAUACGGAGGAUCCAAGCGUUAUCCGGAAUCAUUGGGUUUAAAGGGUCCGUAGGCGGGCUUAUAAGUCAGUGGUGAAAUCUCCCAGCUCAACUGGGAAACUGCCAUUGAUACUGUAGGUCUUGAAUUAUUAGGAAGUAACUAGAAUAUGUAGUGUAGCGGUGAAAUGCUUANAUAUUACAUGGAAUACCAAUUGCGAAGGCAGGUUACUACUAAUACAUUGACGCUGAUGGACGANAGCGUGNGUAGCGAACANGAUUANAUACNCUGGUAGUCCACGCCGUANACGAUGGANACUANCUGUUCNGANCANUCUGAGUGGCU
This 707-nucleotide ribosomal RNA is filed under the name Flavobacterium sp. WH009022s. RNAcentral describes it as "partial 16S ribosomal RNA". It matches the Rfam family "Bacterial small subunit ribosomal RNA", at positions 139 to 848 of the family's 1533-position model. The record is from RNAcentral. Lineage: Bacteria; Pseudomonadati; Bacteroidota; Flavobacteriia; Flavobacteriales; Flavobacteriaceae.